AACGAACGCUGGCGGCAUGCCUAACACAUGCAAGUCGAACGAGACCUUCGGGUCUAGUGGCGCACGGGUGCGUAACGCGUGGGAACCUGCCCUUAGGUUCGGAAUAACUCCCCGAAAGGGGUGCUAAUACCGGAUAAUGUCUUCGGACCAAAGAUUUAUCGCCUUUGGAUGGGCCCGCGUUGGAUUAGCUAGUUGGUAGGGUAAAAGCCUACCAAGGCGACGAUCCAUAGCUGGUCUGAGAGGAUGAUCAGCCACACUGGGACUGAGACACGGCCCAGAAUCCUACGGGAGGCAGCAGUGGGGGAUAUUGGACAAUGGGCGAAAGCCUGAUCCAGCAAUGCCGCGUGAGUGAUGAAGGCCUUAGGGUUGUAAAGCUCUUUUACCCGGGAUGAUAAUGACAGUACCGGGAGAAUAAGCUCCGGCUAACUCCGUG
Molecule: ribosomal RNA, 433 nt
Filed under: uncultured bacterium
Lineage: Bacteria
Description: partial 16S ribosomal RNA
Rfam family: Bacterial small subunit ribosomal RNA
Source: RNAcentral